This 1351-nucleotide ribosomal RNA is filed under the name Leucoptera malifoliella (pear leaf blister moth). Its description in RNAcentral is "16S ribosomal RNA". The record is from RNAcentral. Lineage: Eukaryota; Metazoa; Arthropoda; Insecta; Lepidoptera; Lyonetiidae.
UAUUUAAUAUUAAUAAAAUUCAUUUAAUUAAAUUAUUUAUUAUAAAAUUUCCUUUCGUACUAAAUUAUAAUAUUUAUCUAAAGAUAGAAACCAACCUGGCUCACACCGGUUUGAACUCAGAUCAUGUAAGAUUUUAAUGAUCGAACAGAUCAAAAUUUUAAACUUCUUCACUUAAAUUUUAUCUUAAUCCAACAUCGAGGUCGCAAACUAUCUUUUUUAUAAGAACUAAAAAAAAUAAUUACGCUGUUAUCCCUAAGGUAAUUUUUUCUUAUAAUCUUUAAUAAAAAAUCAAUAAUCCAUAAAUAAAUGUAAAAAAUAAAAAAAAGUUAAUUAAAUUUUUCUAUCACCCCAAUAAAAUUCCAAAUUAAAUAUUAUUAUAUUAAAUAUUAUAUAAUUUUAUUAUAAUUUUAAUUUAAAUUAAACUCUAUAGGGUCUUCUCGUCUUUUAAAUUUAUUUUAUCUUUUUAAAUAAAAAAUUAAAUUCUAUAAAAUUAUAUUGAGACAGUUUAUAUUUUAUCUGAUCAUUCAUACUAGUCAUCAAUUAAAAGACUAUUGGAUUAUGCUACCUUUGUACAGUCAAUAUACUGCAGCCCUUAAAAAAAUUUUCAGUGGGCAGAACGGAGCUUUAAAUUAUAAAUCAAAAAAGACAUGUUUUUGUUAAACAGGUAAAUAUAAUUAUUUGCCAAAUUACUUAAAAUAAAUUUUUAAAUAAUUAUUAUAAUAUUUUAUUAAUAUUAUAUACUAAUUUUAACAUUAUUACUUAAAUAAAAUAAUUUAUUAUUAUAUUUUUAUAAAAAAUUAAAUUAAAUAAAAUUUUUCAAAUAAUUAAAAUUAUUUAUAAUAAACUAUAAUUUUUAAAAAAUUUAAUUAAUAUAAUUUUUAAUAUAUUAUACUAUUUAUACAAUUAUAAUUUUUUUUUAUUUUAAAGCUUAUCCCUUAAAAUAUUUAAAUUUAUUUUUUUUUAUUAAUAAAAAAAAAUAAAUAAAUAAAUUUUAAAUUAAAUUUUUUUCUAAAAAAAUUAGAUAUCAAAAAAAACGAUUAACAUUUCAUUUCAAAUUAAAUAUUAAAGAUAAUUUUGCAACAAUAAUCUUUUAAUUAAUUAACUCUUUUUUUUUCGAAAAAUAAUAUAAUUUAUUAAUUUUUUUAUUAAACUCUGAUACACAAGAUAAAUAAAAUUAAUAUUACUUAUUUUUUACUAAUUUUUUUAAAUUUAUUUCAAUUUUCUUUAUCAAUACUAAUUUUAUAUAAAUAAAAUAAUUGUUUCUAUAUAAUACUUUAACCCCCCAAUUAAAAUAUUAUAUAUUAUUAAAAUUAAUUUUAUUAUAUUUUUUUUUAUUAAAUUAUUCAUAAUU